This 22-nucleotide microRNA is filed under the name Glycine max (soybean). RNAcentral describes it as "gma-miR10193e". Lineage: Eukaryota; Viridiplantae; Streptophyta; Magnoliopsida; Fabales; Fabaceae. The record is from miRBase by way of RNAcentral.
UAAAAAAACCAAUGUUAACUGU